This 490-nucleotide ribosomal RNA is filed under the name uncultured bacterium. RNAcentral describes it as "partial 16S ribosomal RNA". It matches the Rfam family "Bacterial small subunit ribosomal RNA", at positions 28 to 507 of the family's 1533-position model. The record is from RNAcentral.
GACGAACGCUGGCGGCGUGCUUAACACAUGCAAGUCGAACGGUGAACGAGGGAGCUUGCUCCCUCCGGAUCAGUGGCGAACGGGUGAGUAACACGUGAGCAAUCUGCCCCGAACUCUGGGAUAAGCGUUGGAAACGACGUCUAAUACCGGAUACGACGCGGGAGGGCAUCCUCUCCGCGUGGAAAGAACUUCGGUUCGGGAUGAGCUCGCGGCCUAUCAGCUUGUUGGUGAGGUAACGGCUCACCACGGCGACGACGGGUAGCCGGCCUGAGAGGGGGACAGGCCACAUUGGAGGUGAGACACGGACCAGAGGACUAUGGGAGGGAGCAGUGGGGAAUGGUAGGCAGUGGUGGGGAGGGUGACGGAGCGAGGCCGCGUGUGAGAUGGAGGUGUUGGGGUCGUAAAGACCUGUUAAGGGGGAAGAACAAAUGUGUCAGGGAAUAUGCCGGGCUUGACGGUACCGAAUUAAAAAGACACGGCUAACUACGUG